AAGUUACUGCCUGUGUUCUCUUCUAGGAUUUUUAUGUUUUUGCUCUUCAAAGUCUUCGAACACAUGAAACAAUCCCCUACCCCAGAUUCUGGUCUUCUAUGAAAGUGAUUAAAAAUCAACCUCUGGGAAAUGCCUUGCUUUGGGCACUGGGCUUCCUGCCUGGGCUACUCUUGAUGCAGACCAAGCUGGUGUGAUGAACCAGAGAGGAAUUCCAAAGUUGGACUGCUACACCGGAGACCGUAUUGCUUCUCGGCACAGAAGCACUCAAUUGCCUAUUUGGUUCCUGGAACACCGAUCUGUAACUUCAAUGACGGGCAUGGAUGGGGAGUGGCUAAAAGAGUGCUAGAAAUUAUGGAUUUGUUCAUGACAGAAAAACUAGUGUGAUUAAUUGGUAUUUUCUGGAAUGGCUUUUUAGCAGUGGUUCCCUAACCUGAUCAGUACUCAGAAUUACAAGAGAAACUUAAAUACAAAGAUUUAGAUUCAGUGCUUCUUGGCUGGGUACUGUGAAUCUUUGAGCAGCCAUUUUGUGAACCACUGUUUUAUGGGGAUGGACACGGCCUAGCAUAAAUAAAACGACUUGGGGAAGAGAAAGCAGGUUGGUUGACAUGUGUUGGUAGAUCUCUUCCAGAGGUAGUAUACGGAGCAUGUUUUAUUCUACGUCUGAAAAGAAUUGAGAUUUAUUUACAUAAUAAUAGAACAGACAGACCUCUUUAUGUUUCAGAGCUUUUGUAGCUGAUUUUAUGUACCUUUGACAGUUCCAGAUGGCUGCAAAAUUUCAAAUUUCUCUUUAGGACCUCAAUAAAUUCUUUGAAACAUUGUGGGUGUGUGG
This is a long non-coding RNA of Zalophus californianus (California sea lion), 829 nucleotides long. RefSeq lists it as uncharacterized. The record is from RefSeq and is a predicted model, not a curated record. The transcript has 3 exons. NCBI's taxonomy places the organism in Eukaryota, Metazoa, Chordata, Mammalia, Carnivora, Otariidae.